CGUAGGGUGCGAGCGUUAAUCGGAAUUACUGGGCGUAAAGCGUGCGCAGGCGGUUUGUUAAGAUAGGCGUGAAAUCCCCGGGCUCAACCUGGGAACUGCGCUUAUGACUGGCAAGCUAGAGUACGGCAGAGGGGGUGGAAUUCCACGUGUAGCAGUGAAAUGUGUAGAGAUGUGGAGGAACACCAAUGGCGAAGGCAGCCCCCUGGGUCGAUACUGACGCUCAUGCACGAAAGCGUGGGUAGCAAACAGGAUUAGAUACCCUGGUAGUCCACGCCCUAAACGAUGUCAACUAGGUGUUGGGAGGGUAAAACCUUUUAGUACCGGAGCUAACGCGUGAAGUUGACCGCCUGGGGAGUACGGCCGCAAGGUUA
RNAcentral lists this ribosomal RNA (371 nucleotides) under uncultured organism. RNAcentral describes it as "bacterial SSU rRNA". It matches the Rfam family "Bacterial small subunit ribosomal RNA", at positions 526 to 896 of the family's 1533-position model. The record is from RNAcentral.